CUUGAUCAACUAUAAGAGGUCAAGCCUGCCCAGUGACAUUGUUCAACGGCCGCGGUAUCCUAACCGUGCGAAGGUAGCGUAAUCACUUGUCCUUUAAAUAAGGACUAGUAUGAACGGCUUCACGAAGGCUAUACUGUCUCCUUAGUCUAAUCAAUUAAACUAAUCUCCCCGUGAAGAAGCGGGGAUUCAUUUAUAAGACGAGAAGACCCUAUGGAGCUUUAAACAUCUAAGACACUUGAUUACACCUACUAAACUUCAUGCAACCUAUCAUUUUGUCUUAAGUUUUAGGUUGGGGUGACCACGGAGAAAAAUUGAACCUCCACGUAGAAAGAAAAUUCUUUUCUAAGCAAAAAGCCACAUCUUAACGCAUCAAUAUAUUGACUUAAAUUGACCCAAUUUCUUGCUCAACGAAC
This 413-nucleotide ribosomal RNA is filed under the name Allobates femoralis group sp. ABGD cluster 9. Its description in RNAcentral is "partial large subunit ribosomal RNA". It matches the Rfam family "Bacterial large subunit ribosomal RNA", at positions 1834 to 2457 of the family's 2925-position model. The record is from RNAcentral. Lineage: Eukaryota; Metazoa; Chordata; Amphibia; Anura; Aromobatidae.